RNAcentral lists this ribosomal RNA (492 nucleotides) under uncultured bacterium. RNAcentral describes it as "partial 16S ribosomal RNA". It matches the Rfam family "Bacterial small subunit ribosomal RNA", at positions 29 to 507 of the family's 1533-position model. The record is from RNAcentral.
AGUGAACGCUGGCGGUAGGCCUAACACAUGCAAGUCGAACGGCAGCACAGUAAGAGCUUGCUCUUACGGGUGGCGAGUGGCGGACGGGUGAGGAAUACAUCGGAAUCUACUUUUUCGUGGGGGAUAACGUAGGGAAACUUACGCUAAUACCGCAUACGACCUACGGGUGAAAGCAGGGGAUCUUCGGACCUUGCGCGAUUGAAUGAGCCGAUGUCGGAUUAGCUAGUUGGCGGGGUAAAGGCCCACCAAGGCGACGAUCCGUAGCUGGUCUGAGAGGAUGAUCAGCCACACUGGAACUGAGACACGGUCCAGACUACUACGGGAGGCAGCAGUGGGGAAUAUUGGACAAUGGGCGCAAGCCUGAUCCAGCCAUACCGCGUGGGUGAAGAAGGCCUUCAGGUUGUAAAGCCCUUUUGUUGGGAAAAAAAAGCAGCAGGUUAAUACCCCGCUGUUCUGACGGUACCCGAAGAAUAAGCACCGGCUAACUUCGUG